UGGGGAUGGGUUCAUAAACAACACUCAGGACCAGGAGGUUGACCGGUUUCCUUAUGCUCCUGCCGCUGCGUCUUCCCUACUAUGAUGGACUGAACCUUUGAUCUCAGAUGGCAGGGCCCAACGCACCCCAGGAGUCAGCACUGCCCCCUGGCCAGCCUGGGCUACCUCUCUUCCUGGACCGCAGUAGUUCCCUCACCCACCCAAGGGGAUCCCGCCAACAUCACUCCACCCCUCCAAGGCCCAGAGCAUGCCGGACUCAAGGGUUCACCCCGGCCAGCUUCUUGUGUCUAUCCAUCAGGAGGGAAUGUGCCCAGGCCCCGGGGGUGGGGCACAGCAUCCCCUGGUGUUGAGCAAAGGGAGAUGAGCAGUUGCUCACUGAUGCAGCUUCCCACGCUCCUUACCUGAGAGCACCGUGAAGACCGCAGCAAAGGCAUUGAGCUUGAGCCCGUCUAUGACGCUGCUGGAGUGGAGGAGCUCAAGACACAUGAGGCUGAAGCCGACCACCAGCAGAAGGAUGUAGAGCACCUCGGAGACCACCGACAGCCACAGCACCCCUGGAGAGUGAGGCAGGAGCAGGUGAGAGGCUGUCCACCCCACCGGGCCAGCACCACCCACUAAGGACAUCAGGUCAUUGCAAACCUGAGCUCAGCUCUAGGUGCUCCUGUGCUGUAGCACCCUGAAGGACCAGUGUGGGAUGAGGAUGUCACUUCAGAUAUAAAGCAGAGCCAAAUGAGA
Long non-coding RNA from Mastomys coucha (southern multimammate mouse), 735 nucleotides. RefSeq lists it as uncharacterized. The record is from RefSeq and is a predicted model, not a curated record. NCBI's taxonomy places the organism in Eukaryota, Metazoa, Chordata, Mammalia, Rodentia, Muridae. The transcript is spliced from 4 exons.